Molecule: non-coding RNA, 54 nt
Submitted as: unclassified sequences
Source: Rfam
GUCCGUUCAUCCCGAUAGGGACGCAUGACACCCAAGCAUGGAACGGGGCUUGGA